Molecule: long non-coding RNA, 1893 nt
Organism: Solanum lycopersicum (tomato)
Lineage: Eukaryota; Viridiplantae; Streptophyta; Magnoliopsida; Solanales; Solanaceae
Source: RefSeq, a predicted model, not a curated record
ACUUUAGGAAAGUAUUUUUCCUCCAGCUCACACGGAUUCUUUUCAUUCUCUCUAAGCUCUUUCCCAAACCCAUUUUCCUUCACUCCAAAACUCACAUGCAGAAGCAGAGAUGAAAACAAUAGAAAAUUUUAGUAUAGAUUAAGCUCAUCCAAAGCUCCAAGCUCAAAGCUCUCCAAGUUGACCUCAUGCCUCUCUCCAAAUGGAUUUUUCCAAAGUAAAGGACUACAGAUCGAGAAGAGUUGCUUGCCAAAAAUUGAGUUAAUAUGCAUAUUUCAAGCUUUUUGAGAUUGAGCUUCUAUCUUCUGAGAUGGUUGAGGUAUCCAAGCGUCUCCAGGAUAACUUUAAAGUGGGUGCUCUUGCUUAGAGUGACGAAGAUGCUUCGUUCUUUCAUUUUUAAUCAAAAUUUGUUGAUUCAUUUUGUGAUUAUACUCCAAUUGUUAGUGAUGUGAUAUUUUGAUGUUGGAUCAUGUUCCUCAUUCCGUUUCCUUUACUUGAUGGAACAAUCAAAAAUUAAGUUGAUUCAAUCCAAGCCAUUUUGUGAUUAUAUUCUGUUUCCUAACCAAGUUGUCUCAUGUACCAUGAGUAGAAUGCGAAAAGACAAAAGUACUCAGUUAACACAUUUGUGAGAAUUAGCUUACAAUUUCAUUCUUUUUAGACAUAUGUUUCAGUUAAUAUAUCAUAUGUAUGUUGUGUGUGUUCUCAUAUUAGAAUGGUUUACAUAUUAUUCCAGUAGGUACAAUAUUAAUAUAUUUGGGCUAGCUGUAUACACUCUCUGUUCUGAUUAUUAAAAAGUGUAUGAAAUUUCUAAAUAUAUGGGGAGUGUUCAAAAGAAGUGGUGCCCUCUACAUUAUAGUUAUGUUCUAUUUCUCAUGUAGCUUUUUUUCGGGCAAGUAUUGUGUUGCUUUCUUUUGUCCUUGUUUUAUUAUUGAUAUGUGCAUAUUCUUAGCUUCAUGUGACUGACUAGUAGCUUUACUUAACCAUUGUUGAACCAUACAAUAUCUAAAUUUCAUUAUUUAUGUGUUACAAAUAUACUUAUUUUUUGGUUCAGAAAAUAAAAAUUGCUAAGCAUCGAAAAUGGAAGGUAAAUAGACUAAUCUCCGGUCAAGCAUGAUUUACUAAUGAAUUUAUAAGUGCAAUAGAUGAAUUUAUUAAAUUUGCUUGUAGGCAACACAAGUAUUUGUCAGAAAUAGUUAUAAGUUGUCCUUGUAAGCGUUGUAAAAAUAUGAAGCACUUGACACCCGAUGAAGUUAUUGUGCAUGUUUUUGACAAAUGAUUCACACCAAGAUAUUGAUAUCGACAUCACAUGGAGAGAAAGCUCCUUCAAUAAAUUUGAAUAAACAUAUCUAUUCUGGUGACUCAAGUAGUCAUCAAGAAUGUUACUUUGACAUGCCCUCAAGUAGUCAAUGUAACAUUCUCGAAAAAAAUUGUGAACACGUAUGUAUGAUUGAUGAUACCGCUGCUGUAGAAUUUAAUCAUCAAGUUGAACCCAAUAUAGAAGAGUCUCUGAAUACAGGUGCUAGAAGAUGCUAUAAAGUGUGGAAUUCAGCUCAAAAUUUCUUAUGGCAUGGAUGUGAAUAUUCAGAGUUGUUUCUGACUGUGAGAAUGAUAAGUAUUAAAUAUGAAUACAAUAUGUAUCAUAGUUGUUUUAAUGCAAUGACUCAUUAAUGAAGGAGACAAGCUCUCAAGAUAAUAACAUACCUCUUGAUUACUACCGAGCAAAGAAGCUAGUGUCGGGGCUUGGUCUAACUAGACAAAAAAUUGAUUUUUGUGUUAAUUAAUGUAUGUUAUAUUACAAGGUUGAUAAAGAGAUGACAGAAUGUAAGAUUUUUAAAGAACCUCGUUAUAAAAAAUGUAUGGACAAGAAAGGUAAGAAAAAUAUUCCACACAAGACAA